CACAGGACACUGAAUCCUUGAUCUGGAAAUUGUACUGACAGUGACAUUAAAGAAUUCAUGCUCAUAGCUUCACUGAUUCCUUGCAGCCCUGCUUUUAUACUUUGCUGAUCAUCCUUAUGAGUUUCCUGUAGGCUCCCCCCAAUUGGUCUACACCCUUCUUGAAACACAGUACACCAUUUGGAGGGUUCAGCAGCUCAUCUCUGUGAA
This 207-nucleotide long non-coding RNA is filed under the name Dromaius novaehollandiae (emu). RNAcentral's name for it is "lncRNA (ENSDNVG00000012508.1)". The record is from RNAcentral. Lineage: Eukaryota; Metazoa; Chordata; Aves; Casuariiformes; Dromaiidae.